CUAGCCUUCCUAUCCCUACCUUUCUUCUCUCUUUGUCUUCCUUAAUUCUCUUCCUAGACUCUUGUCCUAAAAUCAAACUUGUCCUUUCUAUUUUUGGACUUGUUCUAACAAGAGAAGGAAGAGACUAAUUGGACAAUAGGGAGAGGAUGUUAGAAAGAAAGGAGGAAUUGGAAAUCUGAAUGAAUCCAAUCCCCCGGCGCACCCUCCUUUAAAUACUUUGCGAUGGGUUGCCUUCGGAAAUUUUUCGUGCCCCU
This 254-nucleotide long non-coding RNA is filed under the name Elaeis guineensis (African oil palm). RNAcentral's name for it is "long non-coding RNA (EGUI_LNC068195)". Lineage: Eukaryota; Viridiplantae; Streptophyta; Magnoliopsida; Arecales; Arecaceae. The record is from RNAcentral.